GAUGAAGAACGCAGCGAAAUGCGAUAAGUAAUGCGAAUUGCAGAAUCCGUGAGUCAUCGAAUCUUUGAACGCAGAUUGCGCGCCUUGGUUAUUCCGAAGGGCAUGCCUGUUCGAGCGUCAUUAUCACCCCUCAAGCCCCUGGCUUGGUGUUGGACUUUAGUUGUGGCUUUGCCUAUCAACUGGUCUCAAAGAUAGUGACGGCGCCCCAGAGGGAACCCGGGUACGAGGAGCUUUUUACUAAGCAUGUAUCCGGGACGACUCUGAUGGGCGACGGUCUUGUUAUACUUUUACCUAAGUGUUGACCUCGGAUCAGGUAGGAAUACCCGCUGAACUUAAGCAUAUCAAUAAGCGGAGGA
This 356-nucleotide unclassified non-coding RNA is filed under the name soil metagenome. Its description in RNAcentral is "partial contains 5.8S ribosomal RNA, internal transcribed spacer 2, and large subunit ribosomal RNA". The stretch from base 1 to 120 matches the Rfam family "5.8S ribosomal RNA", at positions 35 to 154 of the family's 154-position model. The record is from RNAcentral.